Molecule: ribosomal RNA, 500 nt
Filed under: uncultured Actinomycetes bacterium
Lineage: Bacteria; Bacillati; Actinomycetota; Actinomycetes
Description: bacterial SSU rRNA
Rfam family: Bacterial small subunit ribosomal RNA
Source: RNAcentral
UGGGGAAUAUUGCACAAUGGGCGAAAGCCUGAUGCAGCGACGCCGCGUGAGGGAUGAAGGCCUUCGGGUUGUAAACCUCUUUCAGUAGGGAAGAAGCGAAAGUGACGGUACCUACAGAAGAAGCACCGGCUAACUACGUGCCAGCAGCCGCGGUAAUACGUAGGGUGCGAGCGUUGUCCGGAAUUAUUGGGCGUAAAGAGCUUGUAGGCGGUUUGUCGCGUCUGCCGUGAAAAUCCGGGGCUCAACUCCGGACUUGCGGUGGGUACGGGCAGACUAGAGUGUGGUAGGGGAGACUGGAAUUCCUGGUGUAGCGGUGAAAUGCGCAGAUAUCAGGAGGAACACCGAUGGCGAAGGCAGGUCUCUGGGCCACUACUGACGCUGAGAAGCGAAAGCGUGGGGAGCGAACAGGAUUAGAUACCCUGGUAGUCCGCGCCGUAAACGUUGGGAACUAGGUGUGGGUCUCGAUUCCACGAGAUCCGUGCCGCAGCUAACGCAUUUAA